RNAcentral lists this unclassified non-coding RNA (432 nucleotides) under Hevea brasiliensis (rubber tree). Lineage: Eukaryota; Viridiplantae; Streptophyta; Magnoliopsida; Malpighiales; Euphorbiaceae. The record is from RNAcentral.
GGCAAGAUGGCGAUACCUGAUCUGUAAAAAAUUAUCAAAAACCUAAACUCUCGUAUGCUUAUUUGGGGUGAUGGGAAUUAGCAUGAAAUCCUUUCCACAGUUUACAUUCCUAAUAAUAUCAGAAUGUAACCAGAAUCACCAUUACUUUCAAAACAGUAACAUCACCCAACUCCCUGCAAAAAAGAUACAUUUCUGUAACCCCAGCUAUAAGCAUUUGGCAAGAGGGGGAAAAAAAUCACUCAAUUGUCUUCAUGGAAAGUGUCAAACAUUCGAUAUUAGGAUGCUCUUGUUAAGAAACAGAAGUUGCAAUUUGGUCAUCAUCAUCAUUCCUUGCAACUACUUCAGCCAUAUUAAGAACCUCGGGGCAGAACUACCCUGAAAACAGCAUAGUGAUGAUUCAAGCUUUUCUCUCCCUGUAGUCUGUGAACACUG